AUCAACAAGGCUGAGGACGAGUUGAAAGAAAUCUCUUCCGAAGUCAUGGUUGAAGACUCUUUGAUGGUUAAUUUGGCUGCUCAGAUGAAGGAAUUUCAAGCCAAAAUGGACGACUGCAGGGCGAGAAUGGCUACUAAAAAGCGCAACGCCUCCCAAGGAAUUGAGCGAACUAAGUCCUUGGUUGAGCAGUACAAGAAGUUGGAAGUUGAUGAUGAUGUUGUGGCUGAAUUAAACAUCACUCCCUCUCGGCAGAACGAGGAUUGGGAAAAACUUAGGGAACGAGUUCGUUCAGUGUGGGGUAGACUGUAAUUAGGACACAUUAUGCCUUUUCUUUUGUAAUUUGAUUUUCCUUU
This 353-nucleotide long non-coding RNA is filed under the name Olea europaea (common olive). Its description in RNAcentral is "long non-coding RNA (OEUR_LNC004858)". Lineage: Eukaryota; Viridiplantae; Streptophyta; Magnoliopsida; Lamiales; Oleaceae. The record is from RNAcentral.